UCUUGGUCAUUUAGAGGAAGUAAAAAGUCGUAACAAGGUUUCCGUAGGUGAACCUGCGGAAGGAUCAUUAUUGAAUAAACUUGGUUGGGUUGUUGCUGGCUCCUCGGAGCAUGUGCACGCCUAGCGCCAUUUUUACCACCUGUGCACCCUUUGUAGAUCUGGAUACCUCUCGAGGAAACUCGGUUUGAGGACUGCUGUGCGAAAGCUGGCUUUCCUUAAAUUUCCGGUCUAUGUCUUUACAUACCCCAUAAGAAUGUAACAGAAUGUUAUUAACUGGUCUUUGUGCCUUUAAUCAAAAUACAACUUUCAGCAACGGAUCUCUUGGCUCUCGCAUCGAUGAAGAACGCAGCGAAAUGCGAUAAGUAAUGUGAAUUGCAGAAUUCAGUGAAUCAUCGAAUCUUUGAACGCACCUUGCGCUCCCUGGUAUUCCGGGGAGCAUGCCUGUUUGAGUGUCAUUAAAUUCUCAACCUUUCCAGCUUUUACUAGUUUGGUCAGGCUUGGAUGUGGGGGCUGCGGGCUUCUCAGAAGUCGGCUCUCCUUAAAUGCAUUAGUGAAUCCUUUGUUUGACCAUCUCUGGUGUGAUAAUUAUCUACGCUGUUGUAAGGUCUUCAGUUAUGAGGUUCUGCUUCUAACUGUCCUCUCGAGGACAACUCUUGACAUUUUGACCUCAAAUCAGGCAAGACUACCCGCUGAACUUAAGCAUAUCAAUAAGCGGAGGAAAAGAAACUAACAAGGAUUCCCCUAGUAACUGCGAGUGAAGCGGGAAAAGCUCAAAUUUAAAAUCUGGCGGUCUUUGGCUGUCCGAAUUGUAAUCUAGAGAAGCAUUAUCCGCGCUGGACCGUGUACAAGUCUCCUGA
This 857-nucleotide ribosomal RNA is filed under the name Lyophyllum pulvis-horrei. Its description in RNAcentral is "eukaryotic LSU rRNA". The stretch from base 302 to 455 matches the Rfam family "5.8S ribosomal RNA". Lineage: Eukaryota; Fungi; Basidiomycota; Agaricomycetes; Agaricales; Lyophyllaceae. The record is from RNAcentral.